UACGAAGGGUGCAAGCGUUACUCGGAAUUACUGGGCGUAAAGCGUGCGUAGGUGGUUGUUUAAGUCUGUUGUGAAAGCCCUGGGCUCAACCUGGGAAUUGCAGUGGAUACUGGGCGACUAGAGUGUGGUAGAGGGUAGUGGAAUUCCCGGUGUAGCAGUGAAAUGCGUAGAGAUCGGGAGGAACAUCCAUGGCGAAGGCAGCUACCUGGACCAACACUGACACUGAGGCACGAAAGCGUGGGGAGCAAACAGGAUUAGAUACCCUGGUAGUCCACGCCCUAAACGAUGCGAACUGGAUGUUGGGUGCAAUUUGGCACGCAGUAUCGAAGCUAACGCGUUAAGUUCGCCGCCUGGGGAGUACGGUCGCAAGACUGAA
This 376-nucleotide ribosomal RNA is filed under the name uncultured bacterium. Its description in RNAcentral is "bacterial SSU rRNA". It matches the Rfam family "Bacterial small subunit ribosomal RNA", at positions 524 to 898 of the family's 1533-position model. The record is from RNAcentral.